GCCCGGGUAGCUCAGUUGGUAGAGCAGCGGAUUGAAAAUCCGCGUGUCACUGGUUCGAUUCCGGUCCCGGGCA
Devosia sp. LC5 is the source of this 73-nucleotide transfer RNA. It matches the Rfam family "tRNA". Rfam says of the family: Transfer RNA (tRNA) molecules are approximately 80 nucleotides in length. Their secondary structure includes four short double-helical elements and three loops (D, anti-codon, and T loops). Lineage: Bacteria; Pseudomonadati; Pseudomonadota; Alphaproteobacteria; Hyphomicrobiales; Devosiaceae. The record is from Rfam.